This 67-nucleotide transfer RNA is filed under the name Ischyja manlia. RNAcentral describes it as "tRNA-Ile". The record is from RNAcentral. Lineage: Eukaryota; Metazoa; Arthropoda; Insecta; Lepidoptera; Erebidae.
AAUGAAGUGCCUGAUUAAAGGAUUAUUCUGAUAGGAUAAAUUAAGUAAAUAAAUAUUACCUUCAUUA